Molecule: ribosomal RNA, 329 nt
Filed under: uncultured soil bacterium
Lineage: Bacteria
Description: bacterial SSU rRNA
Rfam family: Bacterial small subunit ribosomal RNA
Source: RNAcentral
CCCAAUGUUUUGGAAUAACCGCGGGAAACUGCGGCUAAUACCGGAUAAGCCCGAGAGGGGAAAGAUUUAUCGCCGAUGGAGGGGCCCGCGUCCGAUUAGGUAGUUGGUGGGGUAAUGGCCUACCAAGCCUACGAUCGGUAGCUGGUCUGAGAGGAUGAUCAGCCACACUGGGACUGAGAUACGGCCCAGACUCCUACGGGAGGCAGCAGUGGGGAAUAUUGGACAAUGGGGGCAACCCUGAUCCAGCAAUGCCGCGUGAGUGAUGAAGGCCUUAGGGUUGUAAAGCUCUUUUGGCGGGGACGAUGAUGACGGUACCCGCAGAAUAAGCC